GGAUGUUAGGGUGGUCUGGCCACGACAUCUGUCACCCCACUGAUCUCCAGGGUUGAUUCGGCUGAUCUGGCUGGCUAGACAAGUGUCCCCUUCCUCCCUCUCUGCUCUAUAUGUGUCCCUCCCAAAGCUGCAUGAUCAGAUGGAAGAGGACAACCACCCAAUAAAGGAGGACUAUUUCCUCAUCAAGGGUACACAAGUACCUGUGCUCCCCUUCUACAACCUCCAAACAGGUUCUCAAGAACAUAAUCCUAAAAAGCAAUUCAAUGUUUCACGUACAAAGAUGUUCGUCAU
Molecule: unclassified non-coding RNA, 291 nt
Organism: Fukomys damarensis (Damara mole-rat)
Lineage: Eukaryota; Metazoa; Chordata; Mammalia; Rodentia; Bathyergidae
Gene: 7SK
Rfam family: 7SK RNA
About the family: 7SK was discovered as an abundant small nuclear RNA in the mid-70s but a possible function has only recently been suggested. Two independent studies have found that 7SK RNA binds the CDK9/cyclin T complex (known as elongation factor P-TEFb). P-TEFb activates transcription by phosphorylating the C-terminal domain of RNA polymerase II.
Source: Ensembl